AUUGAACGCUGGCGGCAGGCUUAACACAUGCAAGUCGAGCGGAGCGGCGGACGGGUGAGUAAUGCUUAGGAAUAUGAAUGGUAGUGGGGGAUAACGUUCGGAAAUGGGCGCUAAUACCGCAUACUAUCAGAAGAGCCUAGGCCUGAUGAGGUAGUUGGUGGGGUAAAGGCCUACCAAGGCGACGAUCCGUAACUGGUCUGAGAGGAUGAUCAGUCACACUGGAACUGAGACACGGUCCAGACUCCUACGGGAGGCAGCAGUGGGGAAUAUUGGACAAUGGGCGAAAGCCUGAUCCAGCCAUGCCGCGUGUGUGAAGAAGGUCUUCGGAUUGUAAAGCACUUUCAGUUGGGAGGCGUUACCCACAGAAUAAGCACCGGCUAACUUCGUGCCAGCAGCCGCGGUAAUUC
RNAcentral lists this ribosomal RNA (407 nucleotides) under uncultured bacterium. Its description in RNAcentral is "partial 16S ribosomal RNA". It matches the Rfam family "Bacterial small subunit ribosomal RNA", at positions 30 to 526 of the family's 1533-position model. The record is from RNAcentral.